UACAGAGGGUGCGAGCGUUAAUCGGAAUUACUGGGCGUAAAGCGUGCGUAGACGGUUAUUUAAGUCGGGUGUGAAAGCCCCGGGCUCAACCUGGGAAUUGCAUUCGAGACUGAAUAGCUAGGGUACGGUAGAGGGAAGCGGAAUUUCCGGUGUAGCGGUGAAAUGCGUAGAUAUCGGAAGGAACACCAGUGGCGAAGGCGGCUACCUGGAUUGACACUGACACUGAGGCGCGAGAGCGUGGGGAGCAAACAGG
Molecule: ribosomal RNA, 253 nt
Filed under: uncultured bacterium
Lineage: Bacteria
Description: partial 16S ribosomal RNA
Rfam family: Bacterial small subunit ribosomal RNA
Source: RNAcentral